Thunnus maccoyii (southern bluefin tuna) is the source of this 353-nucleotide long non-coding RNA. RefSeq lists it as uncharacterized. NCBI's taxonomy places the organism in Eukaryota, Metazoa, Chordata, Actinopteri, Scombriformes, Scombridae. The transcript has 3 exons. The record is from RefSeq and is a predicted model, not a curated record.
GAACCUGGACCCUCAGACACAAAAGAGAGGAAGAGGAGGGGUGUUUCUGUGGAGGAGCAGCUGUCCUGCUGUUCUUUGUGUCAGGACGUCCUGAAGGAUCCAGUCUCUACCAGCUUUAUACACGGGCUCUUGGGACGGUUCAUCACCUCAUACUGGGACCAGUCUGCUCCAUCAGGAGACUCCUCCUGUCCCCAGUGCGGAGAAAGAUCCAGAACAAGAGCUGGACUGCAGACAGACAGUCAGACCAGCACUGUACAAACAGAAAGUGGUCUGCAGGAGGUUUUAGAUGAACAUAAGAUCAGUCUGAGGAGGAGAUGUGAAUGUGUGACUGAAGGAAGUGAUGAAGCAGGAAG